UACGUAGGGUGCAGGCGUUAAUCGGAAUUACUGGGCGUAAAGCGUGCGCAGGCGGUUUCUUAAGUCAGAUGUGAAAGCCCCGGGCUUAACCUGGGAACUGCGUUUGAAACUGGGAGACUUGAGUGUGGCAGAGGGGGGUGGAAUUCCACGUGUAGCAGUGAAAUGCGUAGAUAUGUGGAGGAACACCGAUGGCGAAGGCAGCCCCCUGGGUUAACACUUACGCUCAUGCACGAAAGCGUGGGGAGCAAACAGG
Molecule: ribosomal RNA, 253 nt
Filed under: uncultured bacterium
Lineage: Bacteria
Description: partial 16S ribosomal RNA
Rfam family: Bacterial small subunit ribosomal RNA
Source: RNAcentral